RNAcentral lists this ribosomal RNA (253 nucleotides) under uncultured bacterium. Its description in RNAcentral is "partial 16S ribosomal RNA". It matches the Rfam family "Bacterial small subunit ribosomal RNA", at positions 524 to 776 of the family's 1533-position model. The record is from RNAcentral.
UACGUAGGGUGCGAGCGUUGUCCGGAAUCAUUGGGCGUAAAGGGCUCGUAGGCGGUCCGUCACGUCGGGAGUGAAAACCUGGGGCUCAACCCCAGGCCUGCUUCCGAUACGGGCGGACUAGAGGUAGGCAGGGGAGAGCGGAAUUCCUGGUGUAGCGGUGAAAUGCGCAGAUAUCAGGAGGAACACCGGUGGCGAAGGCGGCUCUCUGGGCCUUACCUGACGCUGAGGAGCGAAAGCGUGGGGAGCAAACAGG